UAACUUGUACAAGUGACCAAAAUGUAAGAAAGUUAAAGAAAAUAAAUCUUUUUAUUCUUAUAGUGAGGUGCCUAUUCUCCUAUCCCACUGCUCAGGUUAGAGAUAUUAAAUUACGUUACUGUUGAAUCUUCAAUCUGAAUUUGUUGAGAAGCUAUAGGCAGAAGUCCUAGAAACCCUAAAUACUCUAUUUUACUAAUGGCUCAACAUGGUGUGGUAUACCUUCUAUCUCUUUGGUUCAUUUUUUUAUUUUAAUUUAUGUUUUUUAUUCGUUCCUUUUUUUUUUUUCCGUUCUAUUUCCUGAGUUCCUAGUCCUUUUUUUUUCUUUAUUUCCUUAUAAUCACUUCUACAGUAUUUUUAUUCUGUCAAUGAUCUCAUUUGAAAGACAACUGGGACAUAUACGCAGCAUAUAUUAAAAUCCAUAUAUGAUGUAUCACAUACAUGCUUGCAUGUGGGCAUGAUGCAAUUAGGAAACUUAACAUUUAUAGUAGUUUGAAUUUCGUUGCAAGAAAUUCAUGUUUCACAGGUGUACAUAGACUGAAAUAUUGGAAAUUCAAUUUUUUUAAUAAAAAAAAAAAAAAAAAAAACUGAAAUAUUGCAGCUGAAUACAAACUUGAGCAAAACCGUAAUUUAACAAAGACAGAAUACUGCAAGUAUUAAAAUCUUCAGUUCUUAAAAAAUUGUGGUUGGAAACAAAUUCAUAGAGGAAAUAAUUUCCAAAAGCUUUCUUAGGAAGCUGAAAAAAAUAAAUAAAGUAAAGCAAAACAAUGACGAUCAAACUAAAAAAUUAUUAUUACAAGCGCUGCUUUGAAACAAAACAUAUCAAAGAUCCCAUGUACGCUAACAUGUUUAAUCCUAGUAUUUAAAACAGUUAUUUGUAAGAACUAUGAUACAUAGACAUCCUUAGGUGGCAAUACAUCCCAUUGACACCCACACAAAAAUCUGAGCUAAAUUAGUUCUAAUUCUAUGCAAAGACCAAGGCCAACUGCACUUUAUGACAGGUACUUUUCAGUUUCUAAUGCAAUAUAAACAAGCAAGCAUAGUUCAUGUUUAAUGCAGAAGCCAAGUCAAUGACUCUUUACGACCUAUGAAAACAUGUGGUAGGCUGUAUUACAAUCAUAAAUAAAGCAUCUUAAUAGAGGGAGAAAAAACACAAAUUUUGGGUAGACUUUUCAUUUAGUUCCACAUAUAGAUAGCAUUUGCAAGCAUACAAUAAGCUAAAUCCAAGUUUUGUUACCAAAAUCGACCAAUGACAUUAUGUCGAUUUCUGUUCAAAUGAAUUUUGAAUGGAGCAGUAUGAAACAUAAAGCGUGUUUCAUUAAUUCAUGAAAAUAAUUGCAAUAUUAGGCAAAUAAAGUUGCAUAACAUUGUACACUUGCACUCACCGACUCACGUAUACUAAUGUUCAUAUUCAUGUAUUCCCCCACUAUCGUUUAAAAAAAUCAAUUUGGCGUGUUGCUACACAGUCAAAGAUCCAAAGGAAGUAGAGGACACAACAGGGAGAUAUAUAACAAUGUGAAAUCAAGACAGUGGAACAAAAUAACACCACCUUCAAACCCAAGUUAAAGUUUGAUAUUACAAAUUUCGAUGUUUCUUCAACGGUUGGUCACAAAAUAUGUAGUUGACAAUAAAACGACCUACUUAAUGUACUAAAGCAUGUUACCAACGUUAGGAAUCCACCAGAGCUGAAUUUCAGGUUGAUUUCACGAAAUGGGUAGCUAGCAAUUUGGCAAUCUCGGUGAAGACCACUUUAUCUUUCCCAUCGAAAAUGGUCUUCAGUUUGUCAUCACAAAAGAUCUCCUUCUUGUUAUUAGGAUUCUGCAAAACAAUAUCUCUGUUAAGCCAUUUUGUAAACAGCCACACCACAAAGAGACAAAAAGGAGGAUAAGUUUGAUAAUCCAAGACAAACUAUCCUGCUGAUGUUAAGCAAUAUACCAUGAAGCAAACAAACAAUUUAAGAAAGAGAAAAAAGAUGAAAACAAAACAGAGUAUAGCAGAAUAAAAUCCAACAAUGAUUACAAUAGUUACCAGCAGCUAACAAAUGAACCAAAGAAACAAACAUCUCAAAGCUAAGGAUAUCAUUUAUAGGAACAUGAGAAACCUGCCAUCUACUACUAAUCAAAUUGUAACCAUCCCACCAUCGCAAGGGCUUCAAACGGGUUAGACCAGACAACAGAACUCAAACCUGUGACCUCCAAAAAUCAGACAACAGCAACUCUAGCCAUCACAUCAAGACUCCGAUUUCAAACUAUCAUUACAUCACAGAAUGCAUACUAAAUAUCUCACAGCAAUGUAGCAACACAUUUUCUUUCUUUUAAAUAAACUUUAGCAAUGACCUAUGAAGCACCGACACAACCAGUAAAAUUUAAGAAAAUGACAUAACUGAAUGUAAUCAAAUGUGUUGUGUCAGUGUCAGACACGUGCCGAAUGCCGGACACACCUUCAAUCAGAAGUGUCAAGUGUUAUUGAGGCAACGACUACAUUAACUACAUUGUUUCUUAAUGAUUCUAUACUUUCCAGACGCAACAUCACAAUGAAACAGAUAAGCUCAAUACAAAUUACAAUUCAUUUUUAAUUUCAAAAAUCAUACGAAACAGGACGCAACAACAAUAUCAAAUCACAAGAUUCAAAAAAUAUCCCUAAAACACACCAAUGCGAUUACAACAAACAAUAACCAAAUCAAAUAGCGCAAAAUCAAUCCAUAAAACCUAAUCAAAGUUUUUUAUUCAGUAUCAAAAUAAAUUUCAAACGAGAAAUGAAAAAAUAAAAUCGAAGAUCGCAAAGUGAAAAUAGAAGCAUUGAGUGAAAACGAAAACAAAACCUGAAGAUUCUGCAGCUUGAUAUACUCCCAAACUUUCUUAACAGCUUCAGUCCGCGAAACUUCAGGCGCACCGAUGAAAUUACCGAGCUCAGAAGUGACCUGAACUACCUUCUGUAUCCCUCCGGUACUCUUGCUCGUAACCGUUUUCUUCACCGCGGUUUUCUUCACGACGGUUGUGGAUGCAGCUCCGGCGGAUGUAGCCGCCUUCUUCGUCGCUCCUUUCGCCGCCGCCAUUAACAUUCUGCCGGCGAAUGCUCCGAAAACCCUAGCUGGUGCCAUGAUCGCGAUGAGAAAAAUGUGUUUUUUCAGUUUCAAAAUGCUAAAACCCUAGAGAGAGAGUGUGGGUGGUGUUUUUUUCUAUUUCAGUUUGUUGAAAUGAACCUUGAUUUUAGCUUUGGAACUUUUCGAUAUUUGUUAGUUCUUGCAAUAGGAUACACGUGGCGGGUUUUAAUUGGAUCGUAGUUGUAGGGUUUUUGUAGGGUUUUAUGUGAGUGGGUAAUUGCUUCUAUUGCACUCUUUAAACAUUUUAAAUUAGAAAAUUAUUUUUUAUAAAACUUAAAUAGUUUAAUUUUCAAUGCAUUGAAUAUACAUAUUUUUAUAAAUUUUUAAUGCAUUGAAUAGAUAUGUUUUUAUAAAAAAGUUAUUACUUCCGUUUCUUUUUAAUUGUCACAUUUUGACAUUUUACACAAACCAAAACAAUCAACAAUUGAUACUACUUUUGAUGCAAUAAGCUAUACUUUUACUAUGAUGACCUUAUUCAUUUAAUAUAUCAUUUCAUAUAUUUUUUUCUCCGCAAUAAAUAACUAAGGACAAUAUUGGUAAAACAACAUUUAAUGUUGCAUUGAACUUUGAAAAUGACAGUUAAAUAGAAACAAAAAUUUUCUCCAAAAGUUACAGUUAUAAAGAAACGGAGAGAGUACCAUUUAAGAUUUUAAAGAGUACUUGGGGCAUUCGUUAACAUUUUCAUUUGUGGAAUUGUCGUUUCAAUGCCUACCGUUAUAGUUUUUUUUGUGGUGAUGAUCGAUGUUUGAACCUCGAACCUUGAAUAUUUAAUGCAUUGUUCAUACCAACUGAGCUAAGUUCACGAGGACCUAUCGUUAUAGAUUAUAUCACCACCAUUCAUUCAAUUUUCUAAAUUGCUAUAAAAAGAAGGGGGAAAAAAUUGAUUUUCCCCUUCUUGUUUUCCCGCUAGUUUUGUUUGUCUUUUUUUCAUGUGAGAGUUUUGGUUUGUAUAAUUUCAUGGAUUUAUUAGUUAAAACCUAAAAUUACCAAUUUAACAAUCUAAAAUGAAUUGUUCAAUUUAGAUGAACGGAACCAACAGAUAUGGUGACAUUGAUGAAAUGGUGGGGUAUCCAAAAAAAUUGGAAAAGUAUGAUCAAUUAAUUUUUUUGGUGUACCACUGAAAUUUAGGCUAUAAUUACGUUGCACUUAUUAGACCAAACUGAUGGAAUACAUGUAUGGAUUUGAGUCUUCCAUUUCAAGCAAUAACGUUUUCCUUGCUGCUGUAACUUUUGUUGAAGACCUUGCAAAAGAAAGAGGCAAUUUGGUCGCAACAAGAAAUAGUAUCCAUGACCAAUGUUGAUCCUAAAAACGACAAAACAGGAAGAAGAAGCAAACUCUUGUUUAGGGCAAUGUCCAAAUUGAAUUUGGAAAGGAGGAAAUUACUAGAGGAAAAGGGGGCCUUAAAAUGUGCAUUAAAGAAGGUAAGACAAUAUAUGCAAGUUCUAAUGAGUUUGAACUCCAAGAAAAAUAUGAAAUGGACUGAUCCAACGUGAGGUUAAUGGCAACGUGAGGUUAAUGGCAACGUUUAGCAUGGGAAAAUUGGCAUAUUUCCCCAUCUUAGGUCAAUUUAACAAGGGCCAUUGAUUUAAUGUUAACAGAGAUCAAUGGAUAAGAUUGUUCUUAAAUAUUUACCUUGAACUUGGAUGAAUUUUAAUUUUAAAAAACUGAUAUACCAUUAUUUGAAAUUGUACAAAUCACCUAGGUUUGAUAUAUAUUUAUAAAUUUGGAACAUGUUGAAAACAGUGUUGUUUUACUCUCCGUUACCAAAUUAUUAGUAUUUUUUUUUUAUCAAAAUCAAUAUUUCAUUUUCUUUAUUAUUUAGAAAAACUCGAUAAAUGUUAGUAUUUAAAUUAAUAUUUCCUCAUUCGUUCGGUUUGAAGUCAGAAUCACUAACUUCUUUAACGCUGUUCACUAAAAUCUGAAGGGUAAAUAAUUGAAAUCUUUUCUUUUUUAAGGAGAUUAAGGAAAUAAAAUCUGAAGUAUGAAAAUGUUAGUCACAUUAUUUGGUCUAUGUUUUUAUAUUAAGUUUUUUAAUUGAGAAUGGGGCUGAAAAAGGUUAGCAGGAGUGUUAAAAAAAUAUUGUAUCUCCCUCCGAUAAAGAAAUAAACAAAUUAAUUAGGUUCAAAUUAUAAUUUUGAGCCAGGGGUACAAAUUGGAAUAUAAAAAAAUAGGGAGUACAACUCAUUACAAGUAAAACAAAAUUGAUCUAAGAUGGGAAAAUUUGACAAUUUGCCCAUGCUAAAACUCGCCGAGGUUAAUACAAGAAGACGUGAUGGCCCUUGUGGUUCUGGAUGAUAUGUAGCAAAUGCUUGAUUUUGAAGCCAUAGGGAUUCCUUCUACUUCCUUUUAAUUUCCAAAGGAAUUUCAUCUGCCAAAUUAUGAAUGAGACACAAAGAGCAAACGAGCGUUCAACUAUUCAUUAUUGGAUUGCCAAAUUUUACUCAAAAACCAAAUGUAUGCAAUACGUAAUGUCAGAAUUGUGUUUUCACAUACUUGUCAAUUAUCAUCAAACGAAUAGGAUAGCCAGAUAAAAUAUCAAGUUCAAAUCAAAUGCAAAUAAUAAUAUCAAACAUGACAAAAUUCAACUCAUUACCUUUUAACUCCUAAAAGGGGAACCUAGCUGGUUUAUUCGUUAAUACAUAAUAAAACUUGCUUCCCAGUCACAAGUAAACCAAAAUCAAUCAAAACCAGACAAGAGAGCUCAUGCCAGUAUUUCAACUGCCUAAUCCAGUAACAAUCAUGACAGCAGCGUAUGAUUUUGCAAGGAUAAAAGCCCUUGAUCGGAGCAAAUACACAAAUUCAAUUACAUCUAAUUCUUCUUAAUGAAAUAGUAAUAAUGAGUCAGGUCAGCUUUAUUAAGAUAGUGGUGAAUGAUAAUGGUUUGUGGAAGAUGAAUACUCAAUGACGUCAGCUGUUUGAACAGCAGGAUUUUAGAAAGAAAAUUACAGUUGGACAUACCUCAAAUUUGAUGUAUACAUAACAUAUUUGUGUGCAGGUACCACUUUGAAGUUACAAGGUACAAUUUAUGUGUAAGAGACAACAAUUGUACUUCUACCUUUUGCAGUUUUACUUCUUUUAGUCAUAUUAAUUUUGCUCUCCUUGGAACGAGAAGUCUGGGUGAAGAUCCUCUCCAUUUAUAAAACUAAAUGGAAGAUGCAAUUAGGAGAGAGAUAGAGACAUAAAAUUGGUAGUGGAUCCUACCAUUAAGUGGGUCUCACCGUCAUUAAUUAUUUUUUACUUUUGUGUCUCUUUGUCUCUCUAAAUGGUAGAAAUGGAGAGGAUCUUAACUCGAGAAGGGUUCUAGGCUAAACAACCAUGAAAACCUCAUUCAGGUUGGAUUUGUAGGAUCAGUAAUUUCUCCUGAUAAAUUCCAACAGUAAUUAUACAACUUCAAUUUAGAGUAGACAAGGUGGAAAAUAAAUAAAUAGAAUUAACAAUUGCAAAUAAGAAGAACCGAAUCACAACUGAGUGACUUAGUUUCCGAUGCUUCAUGAACUUCAAGAAAAACAGUGGAAGUGAAAGG
Molecule: long non-coding RNA, 6623 nt
Filed under: Medicago truncatula (barrel medic)
Lineage: Eukaryota; Viridiplantae; Streptophyta; Magnoliopsida; Fabales; Fabaceae
Description: long non-coding RNA (MTRU_LNC002922)
Source: RNAcentral